Molecule: ribosomal RNA, 253 nt
Filed under: uncultured bacterium
Lineage: Bacteria
Description: partial 16S ribosomal RNA
Rfam family: Bacterial small subunit ribosomal RNA
Source: RNAcentral
UACGAGGGGGGCGAGCGUUGUUCGGAAUUAUUGGGCGUAAAGGGUGCGUAGGCGGUUCCGCAAGUCCUGUGUGAAAUCUUCGGGCUCAACUCGAAGUCUGCACGGGAAACUGCGGGGCUUGAGUGUGGGAGAGGUGAGUGGAAUUCCCAGUGUAGAGGUGAAAUUCGUAGAUAUUGGGAAGAACACCGGUGGCGAAGGCGGCUCACUGGCUCGUUUCUGACGCUCAGGCGCGACAGCGUGGGGAUCAAACAGG